GAAAAGAAACCAACAGGGAUUGCCCUAGUAACGGCGAGUGAAGCGGCAACAGCUCAAAUUUGAAAUCUGGCGUCUUUGGCGUCCGAGUUGUAAUUUGCAGAGGGCGCUUUGGCAUUGGCAGCGGUCCAAGUUCCUUGGAACAGGACGUCACAGAGGGUGAGAAUCCCGUACGUGGUCGCUAGCCUUUACCGUGUAAAGCCCCUUCGACGAGUCGAGUUGUUUGGGAAUGCAGCUCUAAAUGGGAGGUAAAUUUCUUCUAAAGCUAAAUACUGGCCAGAGACCGAUAGCGCACAAGUAGAGUGAUCGAAAGAUGAAAAGCACUUUGGAAAGAGAGUUAAAAAGCACGUGAAAUUGUUGAAAGGGAAGCGCUUGCAGCCAGACUUGCCUGUAGUUGCUCAUCCGGGUUUCUACCCGGUGCACUCUUCUACGGGCAGGCCAGCAUCAGUUUGGGCGGUUGGAUAAAGGUCUCUGUCAUGUACCUCCUCUCGGGGAGAUCUUAUAGGGGAGACGACAUGCAACCAGCCUGGACUGAGGUCCGCGCAUCUGCUAGGAUGCUGGCGUAAUGGCUGUAAGCGGCCCGUCUUGAAACACGGACCAAGGAGUCUAACAUCUAUGCGAGUGUUUGGGUGUCAAGCCCGAGCGCGUAAUGAAAGUGAACGGAGGUGGGAACCUUUCGGGGUGCACCAUCGACCGAUCCUGAUGUCUUCGGAUGGAUUUGAGUAAGAGCAUAGCUGUUGGGACCCGAAAGAUGGUGAACUAUGCUUGAAUAGGGUGAAGCCAGAGGAAACUCUGGUGGAGGCUCGCAGCGGUUCUGACGUGCAAAUCGAUCGUCAAAUUUGGGCAUAGGGGCGAAAGACUAAUCGAACUAUCUAGUAGCUGGUUCCUGCCGA
Molecule: ribosomal RNA, 890 nt
Filed under: Epicoccum sp.
Lineage: Eukaryota; Fungi; Ascomycota; Dothideomycetes; Pleosporales; Didymellaceae
Description: partial 28S ribosomal RNA
Rfam family: Eukaryotic large subunit ribosomal RNA
Source: RNAcentral